RNAcentral lists this ribosomal RNA (253 nucleotides) under uncultured bacterium. RNAcentral's name for it is "partial 16S ribosomal RNA". It matches the Rfam family "Bacterial small subunit ribosomal RNA", at positions 524 to 776 of the family's 1533-position model. The record is from RNAcentral.
UACGGAGGGUGCAAGCGUUAUUCGGAAUUACUGGGCGUAAAGGGCGUGCAGGCGGUCUGAUAAGUCUGAUGUGAAAGCCCUGGGCUUAACCCGGGAAGUGCAUUGGAUACUGCCAGACUUGAGUAUCGGAGAGGAAGGGAGAAUUCCCGGUGUAGAGGUGAAAUUCGUAGAGAUCGGGAGGAACAUCAGUGGCGAAGGCGCCCUUCUGGACGAUUACUGACGCUGAGACGCGAAAGCGUGGGUAGCAAACAGG